AUGAACGCUGGCGGCGUGCCUAAUACAUGCAAGUCGAACGAAACUUCUUUAUCACCGAGUGCUUGCACUCACCGAUAAAGAGUUGAGUGGCGAACGGGUGAGUAACACGUGGGCAACCUGCCCAAAAGAGGGGGAUAACACUUGGAAACAGGUGCUAAUACCGCAUAACCAUAGUUACCGCAUGGUAACUAUGUAAAAGGUGGCUAUACUACCGCUUUUGGAUGGGCCCGCGGCGCAUUAGCUAGUUGGUAGGGUAAAGGCUUACCAAGGCAAUGAUGCGUAGCCGAAGUGAGAGGUUGAUCGGCCACAUUGGGACUGAGACACGGCCCAAACUCCUGCGGGAGGCAGCAGUAGGGAAUCUUCCACAAUGGGCGAAAGCCUGAUGGAGCAACGCCGCGUGGGUGAAGAAGGUCUUCGGAUCGUAAAACCCUGUUGUUAGAGAAGAAAGUGCGUGAGAGUAACUGUUCACGUUUCGACGGUAUCUAACCAGAAAGCCACGGCUAACUACG
RNAcentral lists this ribosomal RNA (509 nucleotides) under uncultured bacterium. Its description in RNAcentral is "partial 16S ribosomal RNA". It matches the Rfam family "Bacterial small subunit ribosomal RNA", at positions 29 to 505 of the family's 1533-position model. The record is from RNAcentral.